RNAcentral lists this ribosomal RNA (554 nucleotides) under Lactobacillus gasseri. RNAcentral's name for it is "bacterial SSU rRNA". It matches the Rfam family "Bacterial small subunit ribosomal RNA", at positions 1 to 521 of the family's 1533-position model. The record is from RNAcentral. Lineage: Bacteria; Bacillati; Bacillota; Bacilli; Lactobacillales; Lactobacillaceae.
GAAGAGUUUGAUCCUGGCUCAGGACGAACGCUGGCGGCGUGCCUAAUACAUGCAAGUCGAGCGAGCUUGCCUAGAUGAAUUUGGUGCUUGCACCAAAUGAAACUAGAUACAAGCGAGCGGCGGACGGGUGAGUAACACGUGGGUAACCUGCCCAAGAGACUGGGAUAACACCUGGAAACAGAUGCUAAUACCGGAUAACAACACUAGACGCAUGUCUAGAGUUUAAAAGAUGGUUCUGCUAUCACUCUUGGAUGGACCUGCGGUGCAUUAGCUAGUUGGUAAGGUAACGGCUUACCAAGGCAAUGAUGCAUAGCCGAGUUGAGAGACUGAUCGGCCACAUUGGGACUGAGACACGGCCCAAACUCCUACGGGAGGCAGCAGUAGGGAAUCUUCCACAAUGGACGCAAGUCUGAUGGAGCAACGCCGCGUGAGUGAAGAAGGGUUUCGGCUCGUAAAGCUCUGUUGGUAGUGAAGAAAGAUAGAGGUAGUAACUGGCCUUUAUUUGACGGUAAUACUUAGAAAGUCACGGCUAACUACGUGCCAGCAGCCGCGGU